ACACCAUUAAUGCAGGUGCAUGGACAGGAAAAGCAGGGGUGCAGAGAGGACGUUUAACUAUUGUGACAAAGAAAAUAUCCAGAAAAUACAUCUCAAAGGAACCACCAUAGGACCAUGCAGUGGCCCCAAGAGAAACACCCAUAGGGCAUGCGUGCAUGCGUGCACAAGCGCGUACACACACACACACACACACACACACACACACACUUCCCUUGUCUACCCUGACCUGUUCUGAUGUCUCUCUCCUCUCAUAUUCCUCCUCCCCCAGAGCCAUUACACAUCUGUGACCCAGGCCAGCCAGGGAAAGAGGCACCUGUCGGCAGAGGCCUUGGCCUUCAUGGCUAUGGAAUUGACCUCUUUCAGGGGAGAGACGAAACUUCAUCCAGCCCUGCGCCCCACAGCUUCCCUACGUUUCAGGGCAAAUGGCAAGUGUUCAACAGACGCUGGUCACUGCUCACCCGCCUUCAGGGGAGGGAGCCACAGAGCAAAGCAGUUAACAGCGUGAGCUUUCCCGUCUCAGCCACUUCCGAGCUGUGUGGUCUGGAGCAAGUUCUGAAACAUCGGGGUUGA
This 570-nucleotide long non-coding RNA is filed under the name Mustela putorius furo (domestic ferret). RNAcentral's name for it is "lncRNA (ENSMPUG00000027461.1)". Lineage: Eukaryota; Metazoa; Chordata; Mammalia; Carnivora; Mustelidae. The record is from RNAcentral.